GACGAACGCUGGCGGCGUGCUUAACACAUGCAAGUCGAACGGAAAGGCCCUGCUUUUGUGGGGUGCUCGAGUGGCGAACGGGUGAGUAACACGUGAGUAACCUGCCCUUGACUUUGGGAUAACUUCAGGAAACUGGGGCUAAUACCGGAUAGGAGCUCCUGCUGCAUGGUGGGGGUUGGAAAGUUUCGGCGGUUGGGGAUGGACUCGCGGCUUAUCAGCUUGUUGGUGGGGUAGUGGCUUACCAAGGCUUUGACGGGUAGCCGGCCUGAGAGGGUGACCGGCCACAUUGGGACUGAGAUACGGCCCAGACUGCGACGGGAGGCAGAAGUGGGGAAUAUUGCACAAUGGGCGGAAGCCUGAUGCAGCAACGCCGCGUGCGGGAUGACGGCCUUCGGGUUGUAAACCGCUUUCGCCUGUGACGAAGCGUGAGUGACGGUAAUGGGUAAAGAAGCACCGGCUAAGUACGUG
RNAcentral lists this ribosomal RNA (468 nucleotides) under uncultured bacterium. Its description in RNAcentral is "partial 16S ribosomal RNA". It matches the Rfam family "Bacterial small subunit ribosomal RNA", at positions 28 to 507 of the family's 1533-position model. The record is from RNAcentral.